Lingula anatina is the source of this 422-nucleotide long non-coding RNA. NCBI's taxonomy places the organism in Eukaryota, Metazoa, Brachiopoda, Lingulata, Lingulida, Lingulidae. The record is from RefSeq and is a predicted model, not a curated record.
CCACAAUCACCCAGGCAUGUGCAAGUCCCGGAGACGCCGGAGACCAUGGUCCAGUGGAAUCGAUUAAAAGAGGGUCAAACUGAGUUGCAGGAAAAAACCGAAGUGCGGAAAGAAUUAAUAAGUGACCACAAUAGUGAGGAUGACGACACAUCUCAUAAAUCAGACACGCCAAAUGAUGUUGUUGAUUUUGACGGCGAACCAACAGAAAAGGCUGUACAGAAUGAAAAUACGGAAAAUGUAAGCGAUCGUUGAAGCCGGCAAUUAAAAACAAAGACGAGUCCAGGACGGUUUAUGUAUAUCGGAAGGAUUUCAUCAUGGAAUUCCCCUCUUGCAUCUUCGCAAUAAUCUACACUGCAUCCUGAAUUAUUUAAUGCAGUCUUAUAAUUCGACAGGUUCUUAUCUAGUGAAUUAGCUUCUCUUAA